RNAcentral lists this unclassified non-coding RNA (1742 nucleotides) under Hevea brasiliensis (rubber tree). The record is from RNAcentral. Lineage: Eukaryota; Viridiplantae; Streptophyta; Magnoliopsida; Malpighiales; Euphorbiaceae.
UUUGACUGUCGGAUUUGAUGGAACUGGAUUGAACUGAACUGAAACUGAGAGGAUCCCUUCAGUCUGGUCCAGUUCUAGUUCCAGCCGGAAACCAGACUGCACCCAUGAGUUCAUGGCAUCACUGUUUACCUAUCUAGCAGGGCUACCAUGCCUUCUUAAAGAGCUUCUUUCAUUUAGCAGAGCAGUCAAGUGAUAGAAAUUUAAGUGUUGGCUUACCACCUAAAUGAUAAUAGCAAAAGCAAGUAUUAGCAAGUCAGUAAACAAAACAUUUGAACACAAUGUGAUUCCUUUAUUUAACGACUGAGAGCAAUUCUAACAGUUAACUUAUGGGCACAUGGAGGAGCAAUUUAGUAUAUAAUUAAUACUUAUCUCACCUCUAUCAAUUUUACGAAAGUUACUGAAGAUAAAGGCUACUUUUAAUCAUUUUAUUACAAUAUAUGAUACGACACCAUGUAAUUUGCCAUAAUCAGGUUUGGUUGGUGGGUCUUGUUUAUGAUGAGGAAAUGAAAUAUUAUUGAAUGCAAAUAAAUAGAGAAUAUAAUAAACCAAGGUGCUAAACUCUUCUGAUUGAAUAUGAUAAAGCCUGUAAAACAACAAGCUACUAUCAUUGGUUGAGAUCUUCAAACUAAAUGCACAAAUAGACAGCAUAGCAGCCACUGCAACUUAAAUCCUUAAUUGAAAACUACUUAAGACAAGUAACUUGAACUUUCUUUUUAUCAUACAACCAAUGACAUCUUUCAUAUAAUAACCAAAACUUUGGUCUAGUGCCUACACCUUUGAGAGCUUUUUUAAUAAAAUCACUCUUACAUAAUGAUAGAUAAGAAGUUCUACAUUGUAAACGAACAAAAUCUUUGACGAACUAAUAACCAAAACCUCCUGCAGUUAGGGGCAAUGCUCAGCCUCAAGGCUACUAGCCCAAAGAUGACACUCACAUCUUUAUCCUACUAAAACUAAAAUACUAAAAACCAUAUAUCAAAUUUAGCUUGCUUAACCCAAAACCCUCCAACACAAUUCUGAUUUGUGAUCAGCCCCAGCUUGCUGUUGAUCAUUAAUCCCAUAAUUAAAAUUAUCUGAGAGUGUUAAAUUUCCUACUAGUUCAGGAAUUCAUGUCGCUAUUGUCUGUAUCUGGGUUUGGCAUGGCCUGGAACAGUGCUUCACCAACAAGCUUCAACUGUUCCAUAAAUGCUAUUAUAUGGUAACUGGAAUGGUAAAGGUCCGCCAACCUUAAAGUGCCCCCCCUUUCUUCCUCACUGGACUGGGGUGGGACCACACAAAAGGCAUCUUUAUGCUUCCAGUAAACUGUAACAGCUAGAAUAAUAGACAGCGAUGGCUAGCUAAGAUAAGAUACCAAGUUAUCAACCCAACUUAUAGAAGUAUUUAGUGCAACAGUCCACUUAUCAUAAUUCUACAAGUCCUCGAGAAUAAUUGGGUUCAUAUUCGAAAUUAUAAUCUAAACAGCAAAAGCCACCAAUAUAACACCUUGCAAGCACCGUACCACAACAAUUAAAGCUCUCUUGUAAACUGGAUAUAUAUGAAACAGCAUGCUGCUGUAUAAAAGCAUACACAUUGAACAUAAUAUGUAAGCAUGAAAUAUCAUUUUUAUAUGGGUGGGGAGGGGAGGGAAAGAGCCAGAAGACUUACUGUGUUGACAUGGCAGAAUCCUGAGCUUCUCUCCAACGCUAUAGUCUUCAAGGCAUAUGGCACAUGUUCUUGAAGUACAGUUAUCCUCUAGAACAGCUGUG